UCUGUAUUUUAUCAGUGGUAUAAAAUUGAAAUAAAUUUUGUGUCAAACUGUGAAUCUAAUUUUUUUCUGAAAUAAACAUUUUUAUUAUGAUUUAUAAUGAGUGUGCAGGAUCUUUUUCACGAAAAACAAGUACGCCAAUUGUGCGCAUUACAUGCUCUCAACAAUCUUUUCCAGCAAAACACGUUUGAGAAAACUGAAUUAGAUUCAAUAUGUUAUCGUUUGUCUCCAGAAAAUUGGAUAAAUCCUCACAAAUCUAUGUUGGGCUUUGGAAAUUACGAUAUUAAUGUUAUAAUCAAAGCUUUGGAAUCUAGAGGAUUUGAAGCCAUUUGGUUUGAUAAAAGAAAAGAUCCUAAUUGCUUGAACUGGACCAAUAUUUGUGGUUUUAUAUUAAACAUACCAAUGGACUAUAAAAUUAGUUUUAUUACAUUGCCCCUAAAAAGAAGGCAUUGGAUUGCAAUAAGGAGUAUAAUGGGGCAGUAUUACAAUUUAGAUUCCAAAUUGGACUACCCUGAACUAAUUGGUACUAAACAUGGGUGAAAAUCGGUAAUGCUAAUGCAGGCAAAAUUUAUCGAUUUGUUCUCGCUGGUGAUUUAGUGAAAAAAUCAAAUACAAAUAAUCAGUAUAGGGGUAAACAUACUUUUUUAUUAAUAACGUAACUAUGUGGUGUAACAAAAAUGACAAAAUAUAUUACACUAAAAGAAGAUAGGCUCAGCAUAUAUUUUACCUGCUUUAAAUAAUUCCUCCAUUCGUACUUACUUAUUACCCUAAAUACAAUCCAUCAUCAUACCGAAGGCCUAUACUUGAUAAAUUUUGAUGAACAAAGUUUGGCAGACGAUUUGUGCAAAUUCAUACGGGAACAGCUUAAGUCUCAAGACAAGGAACUAUUUGUCAUUGUGACUAAGGAAGUUGAACAAAAUCAGAACUGGAUAUUGGAUGAUACAAACUAGAAUAACCAAAUAUUGAUGAACCCAGCAAAUCAUGACAAAGGAUUUUUAACAAAUCACUAAAAUUUGCAGGUGCAGUAAAUAUAAAGUUUGCCAUUACAGUUGAUAAUUUUUGUUGAUUGCAUUUUUUUCGAGUUUGUAUUUCUGUCUACAAUAUUUUAUAAGCAAACAUUUGUACUGGAGCCAACAGAACCAACUUCUAAAUACAUGCUGAUAAGUUUAUAUCCUUUUUAUUAUUUGUAAUUUUAGCAAAACAAGAAAAAUAAAACUUUUUAUUACC
RNA transcript from Cylas formicarius (sweet potato weevil), 1224 nucleotides. It is a transcript of the gene named josephin-like protein, with no coding region annotated. Lineage: Eukaryota; Metazoa; Arthropoda; Insecta; Coleoptera; Brentidae. The record is from RefSeq and is a predicted model, not a curated record. The transcript is spliced from 4 exons.